CAAGUCGAACGGUAACAGGAAGAAGCUUGCUUCUUUGCUGACGAGUGGCGGACGGGUGAGUAAUGUCUGGGAAACUGCCUGAUGGAGGGGGAUAACUACUGGAAACGGUAGCUAAUACCGCAUAACGUCGCAAGACCAAAGAGGGGGACCCUCGGGCCUCUUGCCAUCGGAUGUGCCCAGAUGGGAUUAGCUUGUUGGUGGGGUAACGGCUCACCAAGGCGACGAUCCCUAGCUGGU
This 237-nucleotide ribosomal RNA is filed under the name Escherichia coli. RNAcentral describes it as "partial 16S ribosomal RNA". It matches the Rfam family "Bacterial small subunit ribosomal RNA", at positions 58 to 291 of the family's 1533-position model. Lineage: Bacteria; Pseudomonadati; Pseudomonadota; Gammaproteobacteria; Enterobacterales; Enterobacteriaceae. The record is from RNAcentral.